AUUGUUCACAAUGGGCGCAAGCCUGAUGACGCAACGCCGCGUGGGGGAUGAAGGUCUUCGGAUUGUAAACCCCUGUCGAAUGGGACGAAUGGCCUCUGGGCUAAUCACCAGAGGAAUGACGGUACCGUUAAAGGAAGCCACGGCUAACUCUGUGCCAGCAGCCGCGGUAAUACAGAGGUGGCAAGCGUUGUUCGGAAUUACUGGGCGUAAAGGGCGCGUAGGCGGCCAUCUAAGUCAGACGUGAAAUCCCCCGGCUUAACCUGGGAACUGCGUCUGAUACUGGACGGCUUGAGUAUGGGAGAGGGAUGUAGAAUUCCAGGUGUAGCGGUGAAAUGCGUAGAUAUCUGGAGGAAUACCGGUGGCGAAGGCGGCAUCCUGGACCAUUACUGACGCUGAGGCGCGAAAGCUAGGGGAGCAAACGGG
RNAcentral lists this ribosomal RNA (423 nucleotides) under uncultured bacterium. Its description in RNAcentral is "bacterial SSU rRNA". It matches the Rfam family "Bacterial small subunit ribosomal RNA", at positions 361 to 776 of the family's 1533-position model. The record is from RNAcentral.